RNAcentral lists this long non-coding RNA (199 nucleotides) under Physcomitrium patens. Its description in RNAcentral is "long non-coding RNA (PPAT_LNC013637)". Lineage: Eukaryota; Viridiplantae; Streptophyta; Bryopsida; Funariales; Funariaceae. The record is from RNAcentral.
ACUUAUUUUGGUUCUUUUAUUUGAUGUUUAGAGCAUAAAUUAUGUAAAUCUUAUAAGAAAUAGGAUUGAAGAAGGAUUUUGGUAGCAAAGGGAGUAAUUAAGGCACCAAUAUAGAUGAAUGGAGAUGAAUGAUGAAAAUCUCCAUUUCUAUUGGUCAAAAAUCAUGACCAAUGGGCUUUGAGGAGGCUGCCGGAGGCCA